CCUUGUCUUUUGCGUACUUCUUGUUUCCUUGGUGGGUUCGCCCACCACUAGGACAAACAUAAACCUUUUGUAAUUGCAAUCAGCGUCAGUAACAAAUUAAUAAUUACAACUUUCAACAACGGAUCUCUUGGUUCUGGCAUCGAUGAAGAACGCAGCGAAAUGCGAUAAGUAGUGUGAAUUGCAGAAUUCAGUGAAUCAUCGAAUCUUUGAACGCACAUUGCGCCCUUUGGUAUUCCAAAGGGCAUGCCUGUUCGAGCGUCAUUUGUACCCUCAAGCUUUGCUUGGUGUUGGGCGUCUUGUCUCUAGCUUUGCUGGAGACUCGCCUUAAAGUAAUUGGCAGCCGGCCUACUGGUUUCGGAGCGCAGCACAAGUCGCACUCUCUAUCAGCAAAGGUCUAGCAUCCAUUAAGCCUUUUUUUCAACUUUUGACCUCGGAUCAGGUAGGGAUACCCGCUGAACUUAAGC
Molecule: ribosomal RNA, 464 nt
Filed under: Alternaria tenuissima
Lineage: Eukaryota; Fungi; Ascomycota; Dothideomycetes; Pleosporales; Pleosporaceae
Description: eukaryotic LSU rRNA
Rfam family: 5.8S ribosomal RNA (bases 108-261)
Source: RNAcentral